RNAcentral lists this ribosomal RNA (253 nucleotides) under uncultured bacterium. RNAcentral's name for it is "partial 16S ribosomal RNA". It matches the Rfam family "Bacterial small subunit ribosomal RNA", at positions 524 to 776 of the family's 1533-position model. The record is from RNAcentral.
UACGUAGGGGGCAAGCGUUGUCCGGAUUUAUUGGGCGUAAAGAGCGUGUAGGCGGCCUGACAGGUCUGCUGUGAAAACUCGAGGCUCAACCUCGAGAUGUCGGCGGAAACCGGCUGGCUAGAGUCCGGAAGAGGAGAGUGGAAUUCCUGGUGUAGCGGUGAAAUGCGCAGAUAUCAGGAAGGACACCUAUGGCGAAGGCAGCUCUCUGGGACGGUACUGACGCUGAGACGCGAAAGCGUGGGGAGCGAACAGG